RNAcentral lists this long non-coding RNA (6927 nucleotides) under Homo sapiens (human). Its description in RNAcentral is "non-protein coding lnc-RGPD8-5:3". The stretch from base 4305 to 4405 matches the Rfam family "Y RNA". Lineage: Eukaryota; Metazoa; Chordata; Mammalia; Primates; Hominidae. The record is from RNAcentral.
AUGCGGAGGGUUGGAGCUCGUGAGCGAAGGCGCUGAAUCCUGAGGGUCAGAUCUCCAAGAAGGAGGGAGGCUGGUCCUAGUUCCCGAGGUCCUAGACUAGGUCUAGAUCACUGGGUAAAAGAAGGGGAGCGGCAGCACGUAUGGGAUCUUUCAAGACUCUAGUCAAAAUGAGCAGAACAUUUUGCAGUUAAUCAUAGAGUUGAAGAUGAACGAGAAGAUGAACGAGAGCUACUUGAUUGUGAACUAGUAACGACCACUUGGAGUCGCAGUGUGUCUGUAAAAUGAUGAUGACAGUGACAUCAUAGAGGACAUAGUGCAAGUGAACAGUUUGAUACUGAGCUUGGAGCCUCAGUAGUUCUGGAUAAGUGAGAGCUGUACGGGAGGUUGUAACCAUGAGCUACCCUGGUUGGCAGUUGACAUCCGAGGACCAGCACUGGUCAUCGCACAGAAAGAAAACUUUACACCUUGAGAUCCCUCCAUUCUUCUUAAACUUCCAAGUGUAUGUUUGAUGGGAGAAGAGGGGAAGGGAUCAACAUUUAAAGGCUCUGGAAGGAGUCAGAUAACUGUUUUUGGCUUCAAAUGUAGAAUGAAUCCCUAGAUUUUCCUCUACUGAGAGAAUGAAAUCUUAACCCAUUCCGUUCCCUUGUUGGUACUCAGAAACGGAUACCCCAAAGAUGCAUUUUGACAUGCUGAAAGGCCUUAGAAGCUGCCUUAGAAGAUCUGUCUAACCUUGUCUUGUUGGUGUGUGGAAGUGGGAAUGCCCACAGGUGCACAGGGAGGGAGUUUCUGAAAUUAUCUGACCGAGAAAGCAAAAAAAAAAAAUCAAUUGUCUUAAACCCGGUUUCUAGGGAUCUCAUUAAAGAACUAGGAAAAAUUAACCACCUGUUAACAGAAAAACCAAACUGAAAUGUUUUAAAGAGAUUUAUUUUGAGCCAAUAUGAGUGACCAUGGCCUGGGGAACACAGGCUCAAGAGGUCCUGAGAAAGUGUGCCUGAGACAGUAGAAUUACAGUUUGGUUUUGUACAUUUUAGGUGGACAGGAGUUACAGACAAAGACAUAAAUCAGUACAUGGAAGGUACAGAUUGUGUUCAGCUGGGUGCAGUGGCUCACGCCUGUAAUCCCAGCACUUUGGGAGGUCGAGGUGGGCGAAUCGCUUGAGGUCAGGAGUUCGAGACCAGCCUGGCUAACAUGGUGAAACCGUGUCUCUACAAAAAAUACAAAAAAUUAGCCAGGGAUGGUGGCAGGCACCUGUAGUCCUGGAGCUACUCAGGAGGUUGAGGCACGAGAAUUGCUGCGGAGGUUGUAGUGAGCCGAGACCACACCACUGCACUCCAGCCUGGGUGACAGAGCAUGACUCUGUCUCAAAAAAAAAAAAAAAAUUCUACGGUAUUUUUAUAAUACAUUUUGUAGUACCACUUAUAACCACUUGGGUGCGUGGGUUGCCCAUUAAAUCAAACAGUUUACAGUUCACCCUUGAACAACAUGGAUUUAAACUGUACUGGUCCACUUAUACUCAGAUUUUCUUCUGCCGCUGUCACUCUGAGACAGCAAGACCAACCCCCCUUCCUCUCCUCAGCCUACUCAAUGUGAAAAGGACAAGGAUGAAGGCCUUUAUGAUGAUCCACUUCCACUUAAUGAAUAGUAUAUUUUAUCUUCCUUACGAUUUCCUUAAUAACAGUUUCUUCUCUCUACUUUACUAUUGCAAGAAUACAGUAUAUAAUGCAUAUAACAUACAAAAUAUGUGUUCAUCUAUGUCAUCAGUAAGACUUCAGAUCGACAGUAGGCUAUUAAUAGUUAAGUUUUGGGGGAGUCAAAAGUUAUAUGUGGAUUUUCUACUGCAUUGUUUAAGGGUCAACUGUAGAUUCAACGACUACCUAGGAUUGUAGAGUUGACUGAUAGCACUGGGACUGAUGAUAACAUCAUAACCUGUAAGAAGUGUCAACAAUGGUGAUGGACCCCCAGCAACCCUGGAGUGGGGAUGUCUAAAGAUAGAUGUCAUCCACCAGGCAGGAGUUGGUGCUGCCAGUGUGUCAUGUACUGCAGCCUCUUUUAUUUAUUUAUUUAUUUUUAUUUAUUUUUUGAGACAGCAUCUCGCUUUGUCACCCAGGCUGGAAUGCAGUGGCACAAUCUCGGCUUACUGCAACCUCCACCUCCCGGGUUCAAGCGAUUCUUCUGCCUCAGCCUCCCAAAUAGCUGGGACUACAGGUGCGCACCACCACGCCAGGCUAAUUUUUGUAUUUUUAGUAGAGACGGGGUUCCAUCAUAUUGGCCAGGCUGGUCUCAAAGUCCUGACCUCGUGAUCCGCCCAUGUCGGCCUCCCAAAGUGCUGAGAUUACAGGUAUGAGCCACAGCGCCUGGCCUGCAGUCCCUUUUACUACAACAAAUAUGGGAAAGAGUCACAGGUGUGGCAUACGGUGGUGGCUUCUGCGUUAGAAACAUAGGCCAAGUACAGUGGCUCAUGCCUAUAAAUCUCAGCACUUUGGGAAACUGAGGUGGCCAGACUGCUUGAGCCCAGGAGUUUGAGAUCAGCCUGGGCAACAUGGCGAAAUUCUGUCUCUACAAAAAGUACAAAAGUUACCCGGGUGUGGUGAUGUCAUAGGUAGUAGAUUUAUCCUUCAAACAUCAACAACUAAAAAAUCUGGACAAAAUAGGAGACAACAGAGUUCAGACAUUGGAAACAAGCAUUGUAGCACAGUGGUCCCCAAGAGAAAGGAGACAAAUGAAGUGACCUUAGUGGCCCGGCUUAUGUCUGGAGAGUUAGUUUCUAGGCUACAUAGCCCAGGGGUGUCCCUGAGUUGGGACAAAGUUGAGAAUUUGGAGAGGCCAAGGCAGCUAGUUUGUAAGGCAGGGUACCAGAGAGUAGCGCAGCACAGACCUGCAAAGGGUUUCCUGCACGUGUAGCGCACAGCAUGCCUGUGAACACACUCCUGGAAACCAAGGGAACUACCAGGAAGGUGCAGGCAGAGCAAUCCCCGGAGCCAUAGUGGAGACCAUCACUGUGCACUGGCUAAACUACUCAAAGAUACUGCCUGUCUAGUGAGGCAAAAUUAGCCCUAAUGGCCGCUCUGGUCUCACCUAAGUAAGCUCAGAAACACUGAAGCAAGCUCUCAGUUCGAAGGAAAAUGGAAAUCUGGCAUAUGAAAUCAAGAUCUCCAGAUACAGUAAAUAUAACUCUUAUGACAAAAUAGCACAAAGGCCAAGAGACAGGAAAGUGUGUGCUGUUGCUAAGUUGUUCUACUACCUGUGAAGUGGUAGAAUAUUACAUAAAAGUGUGACAAGUCUAAAGAUGUACACUAGAAAUUUUAAGAGAAACAACAAAAAAUGAAAAUGGAGGUAGGGUUAAUAAGCCAACAAAGGAGAUAAAAAUGAAAUAAUACAAAAUAAAUUAGCCCCGCACAAGUAUGGCCAUCUGAUUUAAACCCUGUCACUCCAGCUGGAGUGCAGUGGCGUGAUCACGGCUCACUGCAGCCUCGACUCCCAGGCUUAGACGAUACUCCCACCUCAGCCUCCUGGGGAGCUGGGACUACAGGUGCACACCACCAUGCCUGGCUAAUUUUUUUAGUAGAGAUGGGGUCUGGCUGUGUUGCCCAGGCUGGUCUCAAACUCCUGGGCUCAAGCAAUCAUCCCACUUCAGCUUCUCAAAGUGCAGGGAUUACAGGCGUGAGCCAGUGCACCCGGCCUAUGGCCAUCUGAUUUUUGACAGAAGUGCAGAAGUAAUUCAAUAGAGAAAGGAUCGUUUUCAAGUAACAGUCCUGGAGCAAUUGGAUAUCUAUUGGCAAAAAAAAAAAAAAAAAAAAAAAAAAAAAUCUUGAUCUAAACCUUACACUUUGUACAAAAAUGAACUCUUAAGUGGAAAAUGGAUCAUAGAUUUAAAUAUAAAGCAUAAAACUAUAAAACCUUUAGAAAAUAACAUAUGAGAAAAUCUUUGGGCUAGGUGAAGAGUUCUUAGACACAACACCAAAAACCUGUCAAUUGGGCUUCAUCAAAAUUUAAAUUUGUUUCUCUGCAAAAUACCUGUGAAGAGGAUGAAAAGACAAACUAUGAACUGGGAGAAAAUAUUUGCAAAGCACUUGUAUGACAAAGGCUUUAUAUCUGGAAUAUAUAAUGAAGUCUUGAAAUUCAACAGUAAGAAGACAAACAAUCCAAUUAAAAAAUGAACAGCAGACAUUUCACUGAAGAUACACAGAUGGCAAAUAAACACAUGAAGAGAUGUUCAACAUUUUCAGCCAUUAGAGAAAUGCAAAUUAAAGCCACAAUGAGAUAUCACUACACAUCUAUCAGAAUGGCUAAAAUAAGAAAUAGUGGGCUGGUCCAAGUGCAAUGGUGUUGCAACAAAUUGAUCACAACCACUUACAGAUUUAUUUGUUCUUUUUCCACUCCCACUGCUUCACUUGACUAGCCUUAAAAAAAAAGUGACAUCACCAAAUGCUGGUUGGUCAGAAUGCCAAGAAAUGAAUCACUUAUACAUUGCUGGUAGGAAUGUAAAAUGGCACAGCCACUCUGAAAAGUUUGGCAGUUUAUUAAAUGAAAUAUGCAACUACCAUAUGACCCAGCAAUCCCAGUCUUGAACACUUGUCCCAGGGAAAUGAAACUUAUGUUUACACAAUAACCUGUAUAGUAGUCCUCCUUAUCUACAAUUUUGCUUUCCUUUUUUUUUUUUUUUUUUUUUUUUUUUUUUUUGAGACUCUAGUCUUGCUCUGUUGCCCAGGUUGCUGUGCAGUGGCGUGAUCUUGGCUCACUGCAACCUCUGCCUCCUGGGUUCAAGUGAUUCUCCUGUCUCAGCCUCCUGAGUAGCUGGGAUUACAGGCGUGUGCCAUCACACCCAGCUAAUUUUUGUAUUUUUAAUAGAGACGGGGUUUCCCCAUGAUGGCCAGGCUGGUCUCAAACUCCUGACCUCAAGUGAUCUGCACACCUCAGCCUGCCAAAGUCCUGGGAUUACAGGUGUGCACCACCGCACCCAGCCAGUUUUGCUUUAUGCAGUUUCAGUUACCCACAGUCUGAAAAUAUGUGAGAACAGUACAUUUUGAGGCCACAUUCAUUUAAUUACAGUAUAAUUGUUCUAUUUAUUGCUGUCAGUUUCUUGCAGUGCUUAAUUAAACAUCAAAGGUAUGUAUGUAUAGAAAAAAUAUAUAGAGGACAUAUAGUACAUAUAGCACAUAUGGAUAGUGUAUAUACUAUCCAUGGUUUCAGACACUCACUGGGAGUCUUGGGAUAUAAUCUUCAAAGAUAAAGGGGGACUAUUAUACCUGAUUGUUCAGAUCAGCUUUAUUGUUAAUGCCCCCAAACUGGAAACAACCAAAAUGUUCAAGGUGAAUGGUUAAACUAUAAAUAUAUAUGCUAUGUACAUAGUAUAUUCAUACUAUGGAGUACUGUGUAGCAAUAAAAAGGAAUUAACUAUUGAUACAUGCAACUACCUGGAUGUAUCUCAAGGGAAUGGAGUGAAAAGGCCAUUCUCAAAGGUUAUACUUCGUGAUCCUAUUUACGUAAGAUUCUUGAAAUAAGAAAAUUAUGAAGAACAGAUUAGUGGUUUCCAGGGGUUAGAAAUGGGGGACAGAGGUAGAGAUGGCUAUAAAAGGAUAGUAUGGCAGAGCUCUGUGAUGACGGAACAGCUCUGUAUCUUGCUUAUGUUGCUGUUUUCAUCCAUCUACACAGGUGAUAAAAUGAAAUAGAACUAUAUAUCACAUGCAACACAAAUGAGUGCAUGUAAAAUGGGUGAAAUUUGAAUAAGCUCUGUGGACUGUUCCAAUGCCAAUUUCUUAGUGGUGAAUCUACAGUUAAAAAGCUAAAAAACAUUUUUUUUGGGAAUGUUUUUAGUGCUGCUAAAAAUAGAAGUGGAGCGAUGACAAUAGACCUCAGCUGUGGGAUCAUUCAGUAGCCAGAACCUGGAAUAGUGUGUGAAAGUGUGUGGUUGGGAUUCUUAACAGCAGGGGGAAACGUCAGUCAGUAGAAUCGACUUUUUCCUUCUUCUUCUCAACCAGCUUCCUGAAGCAAAGCCUAUCUUUUCUAUUAAAUUGGUUUUUUCUUAUGCCUCCCCGCUUUUUUUUUUUUUUUUUUUUUGAGACAGGGUCUCAUUCUGUCGCCCAGGCUGGAGUGUGGUGGCACAAUCUUGGCUCACUGCCUGGACCUUCCAGGCUCAGGAGAUUCUCCCACCUCAGCCUCCUGAGUAGCUGGAACUACAGGCAUGUGCCACCACACCAGGCUAAUUUUUUUUGUAGAGCUGGGGUUUCCCCAUGUUGCCCAGAUUGGACUUGAAUUCCUGGGUUCAAGCAAUCUGCUGAGCCAAAGUGUUGGGAUUAUGGGUGUGAGCCACCACACCCAGCCUUUUUUAAUUUAUAAAAUAGAGACAGGGUCCUGCUCUGUCACCCAGGCUGGAGUGCAGUGGCACAAUCUUGGCUCACUGCAGCCUCGACCUCUUGGGUUCAAGCAAUCCUCCCACCUCAGCCUCCCAAGUAGCUGGGACUACAGGGGUGUGCCACUAUGCUUGGCUAAUUUUUUUUGUCGUUGUUGCUUUUUUUGUAGAGAUGAAGUCUCGCCCAGGCUAGUCUAGAACUCCCAGGCACAAGUGAUUGCUCCUGCCUAGGCCUCCUAAAAUGUUGGGAUUAGUGGCGUGAGCCACUGCGCCCAUCCUGCUAAGCCUAUCUUGAAAUGAUAGAUUUUUCUGUCUGUUCCUAUCUGCCUUAUAAUUAGUGACAGACCAUCUGAACCAAACUCAGGAAAGAAUUACCUUAGGAAAGCUUUCAUCAUCAAAAAACAUCUUAUAAUUGCAGAAGUAUAUACAAGAUGAUCUAUUAUCAACAGUUUAUAAUGGCCAAAGAUAAGUCACCAGAAUAUUUGCAGAAAAAAGUUAUAAUGGCCAAAGAAUGGAACAACUUAAAUACACAGGGGAUGGUAAAUCCAUACAAUAAAAUACUGUACACAAGAAAGAAA